CCUGGAGACUCCUACGGGAGGCAGCAGUGGGGAAUAUUGGACAAUGGACCAAGAGUCUGAUCCAGCAAUUCUGUGUGCACGAUGAAGUUUUUCGGAAUGUAAAGUGCUUUCAGUUGGGAAGAAAAAAAUGACGGUACCAACAGAAGAAGUGACGGCUAAAUACGUGCCAGCAGCCGCGGUAAUACGUAUGUCACAAGCGUUAUCCGGAUUUAUUGGGCGUAAAGCGCGUCUAGGUGGUUAUGUAAGUCUGAUGUGAAAAUGCAGGGCUCAACUCUGUAUUGCGUUGGAAACUGUGUAACUAGAGUACUGGAGAGGUAAGCGGAACUACAAGUGUAGAGGUGAAAUUCGUAGAUAUUUGUAGGAAUGCCGAUGGGGAAGCCAGCUUACUGGACAGAUACUGACGCUGAAGCGCGAAAGCGUGGGUAGCAAACAGGAUUAGAUACCCCGGUAGUCCUAUC
RNAcentral lists this ribosomal RNA (458 nucleotides) under uncultured bacterium. RNAcentral describes it as "bacterial SSU rRNA". It matches the Rfam family "Bacterial small subunit ribosomal RNA", at positions 328 to 800 of the family's 1533-position model. The record is from RNAcentral.